UCCAACUUAUCGCUGGCGGUCUCCUGAGAGUGCAUCCUUGCGGAUUAGCAACACAGGACAAGGGUUGCGCUCGUUGCGGGACUUAACCCAACAUCUCACGACACGAGCUGACGACAGCCAUGCAGCACCUCGACUCACGUCCCUUGCGGGAGGGCCCCUGUUUCCAAGGGCUUGCGUAAGCCGUUCGAGCCCAGGUAAGGUUCUUCGCGUUGCGUCGAAUUAAGCCACAUGCUCCGCCGCUUGUGCGGGUCCCCGUCAAUUCCUUUGAGUUUUAGCCUUGCGGCCGUACUCCCCAGGCGGCAUACUUAACGCGUUAGCUCCGGCACGGAUAAAAUGAAUUACCCACACCAAGUAUGCAUCGUUUAGGGCGUGGACUAC
Molecule: unclassified non-coding RNA, 378 nt
Filed under: uncultured Bryobacterales bacterium
Lineage: Bacteria; Pseudomonadati; Acidobacteriota; Terriglobia; Bryobacterales
Description: contains 16S-23S intergenic spacer region
Source: RNAcentral